AUUGAACGCUGGCGGCAUGCCUUACACAUGCAAGUCGAACGGUAACGGGCCUUCGGGUGCCGACGAGUGGCGAACGGGUGAGUAAUACAUCGGAACGUGCCCGAUCGUGGGGGAUAACGAGGCGAAAGCUUUGCUAAUACCGCAUACGAUCUACGGAUGAAAGCAGGGGACCGCAAGGCCUUACGCGGACGGAGCGGCCGAUGGCAGAUUAGGUAGUUGGUGGGAUAAAAGCUUACCAAGCCGACGAUCUGUAGCUGGUCUGAGAGGAUGAUCAGCCACACUGGGACUGAGACACGGCCCAGACUCCUACGGGAGGCAGCAGUGGGGAAUUUUGGACAAUGGGCGCAAGCCUGAUCCAGCCAUGCCGCGUGCAGGAUGAAGGCCUUCGGGUUGUAAACUGCUUUUGUACGGAACGAAAAGCCUUCUUUUAAUACAGGAGGGUCAUGACGGUACCGUAAGAAUAAGCACCGGCUAACUACGUG
RNAcentral lists this ribosomal RNA (482 nucleotides) under uncultured bacterium. Its description in RNAcentral is "partial 16S ribosomal RNA". It matches the Rfam family "Bacterial small subunit ribosomal RNA", at positions 30 to 507 of the family's 1533-position model. The record is from RNAcentral.